Molecule: ribosomal RNA, 404 nt
Filed under: uncultured Sedimentibacter sp.
Lineage: Bacteria; Bacillati; Bacillota; Tissierellia
Description: bacterial SSU rRNA
Rfam family: Bacterial small subunit ribosomal RNA
Source: RNAcentral
UGGGGAAUAUUGCACAAUGGAGGGAACUCUGAUGCAGCGACGCCGCGUGAGUGAAGAAGGUCUUCGGAUCGUAAAACUCUGUCCUUGGUGACGAAAAAAAUGACGGUAGCCAAGGAGGAAGCCCCGGCUAACUACGUGCCAGCAGCCGCGGUAAUACGUAGGGGGCGAGCGUUGUCCGGAUUUACUGGGCGUAAAGGGUGAGUAGGCGGUUAUAUAUGUCAGGUGUAAAAAGCUAUGGCUUAACCAUAGUAAGCACUUGAAACUGUAUGACUUGAGUGCAGGAGAGGUAAGCGGAAUUCCUAGUGUAGCGGUGAAAUGCGUAGAUAUUAGGAGGAACACCGGUGGCGAAGGCGGCUUACUGGACUGUAACUGACGCUGAGUCACGAAAGCGUGGGUAGCAAACA